AGCAGGUCCGGAGUCAGUGGGUUAUCAACAUGUCAGAACCCCCCAUUGGCACUCACUCGACCUGUGC
Ancylostoma ceylanicum is the source of this 67-nucleotide small RNA. It matches the Rfam family "Nematode sRNA ceN72-3_ceN74-2". NCBI's taxonomy places the organism in Eukaryota, Metazoa, Nematoda, Chromadorea, Rhabditida, Ancylostomatidae. The record is from Rfam.